GUAAGCGCAAGUCGUCAGCUUGCGUUGAUUACGUCCCUGCCCUUUGUACACACCGCCCGUCGCUACUACCGAUCGAAUGGCUCAGUGAGGCGUCCGGACUGGCCCAGGGAGGUGGGCAACUACCCCCCCGGGCCGGGAAGCUCUCCAAACUCGGUCAUUUAGAGGAAGUAAAAGUCGUAACAAGGUCUCCGUUGGUGAACCAGCGGAGGGAUCAUUA
This 217-nucleotide ribosomal RNA is filed under the name Cordyceps militaris. RNAcentral describes it as "partial 18S ribosomal RNA". It matches the Rfam family "Eukaryotic small subunit ribosomal RNA", at positions 1617 to 1831 of the family's 1831-position model. Lineage: Eukaryota; Fungi; Ascomycota; Sordariomycetes; Hypocreales; Cordycipitaceae. The record is from RNAcentral.